AGGUCAGGUCAGGGAGGCAGCAGGAGUCCUC
Molecule: non-coding RNA, 31 nt
Filed under: Symbiodinium sp. Mp
Lineage: Eukaryota; Dinophyceae; Suessiales; Symbiodiniaceae
Source: RNAcentral